CAGCGGCCCUAGUGGUGAUCGUUAUUAUUGGGCCUAAAGCGUCCGUAGCCGGUUCGGUAAAUCUCUGGGUAAAUCGUUGGGCUUAACUCAGCGAAUUCUGGGGAGACUGCCGAACUUGGGACCGGGAGAGGUCGGAGGUACUCCAGGGGUAGGGGUGAAAUCCUGUAAUCCUUGGGGGACCACCGGUGGCGAAAGCGUCCGACCAGAACGGGUCCGACGGUAAGGGACGAAGCCCUGGGUCGCGAACCGGAUUAGAUACCCGAGUAGUCC
This 270-nucleotide ribosomal RNA is filed under the name uncultured archaeon. Its description in RNAcentral is "partial 16S ribosomal RNA". It matches the Rfam family "Archaeal small subunit ribosomal RNA", at positions 477 to 747 of the family's 1478-position model. The record is from RNAcentral.